This 117-nucleotide ribosomal RNA is filed under the name Larimichthys crocea (large yellow croaker). The record is from RNAcentral. Lineage: Eukaryota; Metazoa; Chordata; Actinopteri; Sciaenidae.
GCUUACGGCCAUACUACCCUGAAUGCUCCCGAUCUCGUCUGAUCUCGGAGCUAAGCAGGUCAGGCCUGGUUAGUACUUGGAUGGGAGACCGCCUGGGAAUACCAGGUGCUGUAAGCU